CUAGGAGUUGGAAUAGGAGCUUGC
This 24-nucleotide non-coding RNA is filed under the name Cricetulus griseus (Chinese hamster). Lineage: Eukaryota; Metazoa; Chordata; Mammalia; Rodentia; Cricetidae. RNAcentral also lists the same sequence under 2 other names. The record is from RNAcentral.